AUGCACGCUGGCGGCGUGCCUAAUACAUGCCAGUCGAGCGAACGGACGAGAAGCUUGCUUCUCUGAUGUUAGCGGCGGACGGGUGAGUAACACGUGGAUAACCUACCUAUAAGACUGGGAUAACUUCGGGAAACCGGAACUAAUACCGGAUGAUAUUUUGAACCGCAUGGUUCAAAAGUGAAAGACGGUCUUGCUGUCACUUAUAGAUGGAUCCGCGCUGCAUUAGCUAGUUGGUAAGGUAACGGCUUACCAAGGCAACGAUGCAUAGCCGACCUGAGAGGGUGAUCGGCCACACUGGAACUGAGACACGGUCCAGACUCCUACGGGAGGCAGCAGUAGGGAAUCUUCCGCAAUGGGCGAAAGCCUGACGGAGCAACGCCGCGUGAGUGAUGAAGGUCUUCGGAUCGUAAAACUCUGUUAUUAGGGAAGAACAUAUGUGUAAGUAACUGUGCACAUCUUGACGGUACCUAAUCAGAAAGCCACGGCUAACUACGUG
This 496-nucleotide ribosomal RNA is filed under the name uncultured bacterium. RNAcentral describes it as "partial 16S ribosomal RNA". It matches the Rfam family "Bacterial small subunit ribosomal RNA", at positions 29 to 507 of the family's 1533-position model. The record is from RNAcentral.